AUUGGCACAAAACGCCAUGCACGUCUAAGUACAACUAAAUGAGAGGAACUGCAAUGAGCUCAUUACAACGGUUAUGACGACCCGGGAGUUCCGAGGAUAUUUCAGUAACACUAGAAUAAUACACGUCCCCGCGUUUAUAGUUUCGCACAGUCCGUCGCUGAGUCACGGUAAACAGUUGAUCGACUCGACGUCCCGGAACAGUUUCCGCCCCAUCAGCUUCGAUGGUUGGGUAUCGGCCUACCAUUGCAACAACGGGUAACGAGGAAUUAGGGUUUGAUUUCGGAGAGGGAGCCUGAGAAACGGCUACCACAUCUACGGAUGGCAGCAGGCGCGCAAAUUACCCAAUGCAGACACUGUGAGGUAGUGACGAGAAAUAAUAAAGCGGGACUUCUGUUUCGCUAUUAUAAUGAGGAAUAACCAAAGGGUCAUUCCGAUUAGCAACUGAUGGGGAAAGUCUGGGUGCCAGCAGCCGCGGUAAUACCAGCGUCAGUAGCAUAUAU
Molecule: ribosomal RNA, 500 nt
Filed under: uncultured Myrionecta
Lineage: Eukaryota; Ciliophora; Litostomatea; Cyclotrichida; Mesodiniidae
Description: bacterial SSU rRNA
Rfam family: Eukaryotic small subunit ribosomal RNA
Source: RNAcentral